GCGCGAAAACUUUACAAUGCGGGAAACCGUGAUAAGGGAACCCCGAGUGCCUGUAUAUGCAGGCUGUCCAGGUGUCUAAAAAACACCUGAAGAAAGGGCCGGGCAAGACCGGUGCCAGCCGCCGCGGUAAUACCGGCGGCUCGAGUGGUGGCCACUUUUAUUGGGCUUAAAGCGUUCGUAGCUGGGUUGUUAAGUCUCUUGGGAAAUCUGACGGCUUAACCGUCAGGCGUCUAAGAGAUACUGGCAAUCUUGGAACCGGGAGAGGUGAGGGGUACUUCGGGGGUAGGAGUGAAAUCCUGUAAUCCUCGAGGGACCACCUGUGGCGAAGGCGCCUCACCAGAACGGCUUCGACAGUGAGGGACGAAAGCUGGGGGAGCAAACCGGAUUAGAUACCCGGGUAGUCCCAGCCGUAAACGAUGCGCGUUAGGUGUAUCGGUGACCACGAGUCACCGAGGUGCCGAAGGGAAACUGUGAAACGUGCCGCCUGGGAAGUACGGUCGCAAGGCUGAAACUUAAAGGAAUUGGCGGGGGAGCACCACAACGGGUGGGGCCUGCGGUUUAAUUGGACUCAACGCCGGGAAGCUCACCGGAUAAGACAGCGGAAUGAUUGCCGGGCUGAAGACUCUGCAUGACUAGCU
RNAcentral lists this ribosomal RNA (638 nucleotides) under uncultured Methanoculleus sp. RNAcentral's name for it is "bacterial SSU rRNA". It matches the Rfam family "Archaeal small subunit ribosomal RNA", at positions 339 to 981 of the family's 1478-position model. Lineage: Archaea; Methanobacteriati; Methanobacteriota; Methanomicrobia; Methanomicrobiales; Methanomicrobiaceae. The record is from RNAcentral.